AUCUUCUAAUAGCUUAGAAAGGGAAGAUAAAGCUCUGAUACAUUAGGUAACCAUUAAACUUGAAAACAAUCAAAAGUCUUCAAUCCUGGUAAAAAAAGCCACCAGUUGUGCUUUGAUUAAAUAUUGGAAUGACAUCCAGGAGUGUCCUUGGAGAUUUGCCAACCCUUCUCUGGUUUCUUUUGGUAAACAAUCCAGUUGUAUGCCAGCAAGUGAUUUUGACCUGUACCUGUCAAGGACAAAGGUGCAGCACCAGGAAACUCCAUAAAAUACCUUCCUGACCAACACUUUGCAUAUUGUACUCUUGUCAGCAAUCAGUAUAGAAACCAGGAUCAGAGAAAAGAAACUCUUCUAAAACACAGCUAUACUUCUGGACUUCUGCAUGUGCUGUUGAUGAAGAAUUACAUUUUACAGCCUGGACAGUAUAAUAGCUUUUUACUGAUAGAAGUGUUCACCACCAUUCAUUGCUGUGUAAACAAAGGUGACACAAAGGUGAGACGCAGGCAUUCCUGUUGCAACUUGGUAAAGAUGACCUCCAAAGGGACAGUAUUCCUGAGCCUGCAGGAUCAGACAUUGGGAUUCACAGACAUACAGAUGCUGGACAGGUCUGUGAUUCAGAGAUAACUGGACAGAAAUUGACUGACUCUAAUCUCAUGAGGUUUAACAAAAGCAAAUGCAAGAUAUAUCUGUGAUAGAUUUGGGAGGUUAACCCUAACCAGCAGCCAAGUAUCUGAGCAGAUGUUUGUUCAUCCCCACCUCUCUCCCUCCCUCACUCCCCCCCUCCAAUCGUGGUUUUUCUGGUUUGCUUUUAUACUUUCCUUUUAAAAGAGUAAUUUUUUUUUUCUUUUUGGUCAAAAAGCAUCAUAUUAAUCUAUUCAGUAUAUUGAAAUAGAGUUAUUUCCAUCUUGUCAGCUUUUGUGUUUGUCUGUGUAUGUGUCUUUGUGUGUAAAGUAAUGGCCAUGGUGAAAAGAAAAACAGAGUCCUGAAAUGAGAAGGUAAAAUGUAUUUGCCUCUUUUUAAAUGUUUUUUAAACCUAUUGUGUUCCUCCUGCAGUUUUUCUGCUACAGAUGGCAAAUUGUGGCAAAUGUAAAACUGACAUUUUUCUACAACAAUAUUUGUAUGUAGGCCUAUUCCAACUUCUGCAUAUUCAAAUCACAUCAAAGCAACAGAAGAAAAGCAAGCACAAGCUUAUACUUACAGAGAAUCUGUACUAACCUGUGUUCCCUACAUGCCCCACAAUUGAUACGGAAACAUGCUGUUGGAGGGAAGGUUUCCAUCCCCCAGAAACUGAAACUUUGAUGGCAAACAACAUAUGAAAGUAGGUAACAUUAUCCAGGAGACAGCAUGAUUGCAAGGAAAUCCUAAGUAUGCUUGCUAGAUCUGGCCAGAUUCAGCAUCAAAGCUGCAUCAGUAUCAAAAGCAGAAGGACCAUGCACAAAUUCCUCCCAUUUCCCUGGCAAAGCAAAUAACUAAGACAGCCACACAGGUUAGUUAUAUAUUUCUGUUUUAAAAGAACUUGCUCACACACUUAUUUCUUGUAUGCUAGAUGUUUGCUACUGACUCACAGAUAAAUUUUCAUAUACUUUUUUUACUGUGAAAAUAAGUGGAAUUUAAAGUUGUUAAUACCUCCAGUAAGUGAUCAUGGUCUGACCCAAUGGAACGUGUCCUCCAACCUGUCUCAGCAGCAUGGAAAGUCUGUAGUGACACUGUCACAGGCACCCAUCUUCCAUGUGCUACAGAUACUUGCAUGCCCAUGGUCCUCCUAGAUUCUACUGCUGGGGCUAUUCAAAGCCAGGUGUCAGACACCAGAAUGAUAGUCCAUGGUGACUCAACGGUAUACUUCUCCAGCACUUUUUGCCUUUGGUCUCCUACUCAGAUGCUGGCUAUCCUGCUGCUGGUUUGCAGCAUGGCUCACCAGAGUCAGUUGCUUUGUUUUGUACUCAGAUUAUGGCCAAAGUGAAACUGCAGUCUUCUCAUCUCUCAAGCACUUUAUGCUACUAAGACUUGCUGAUCUGGAAUUUUGCAUUUUACUGUCGCCAUUCUCUCCUCAGACUUCCUGACUUUUUGACAAGCUUAAGGAAAGAGACUACACACUGCACCCCCAAGCCAUCAUUCUUUUAAUCCUCUGUGGACUGAGUCCUCUAGGCACCAAAGCCUCUGAACACUCCUGAAGGAAGGCCUUAUUUUCAAUCCAUUUUAAGAAUUCAUUAAUGUUAUUUCCAGUGAUUCUUCUUCCGCAGCGGUACAGUACACUCUGUUUUAAC
This is a long non-coding RNA of Gallus gallus (chicken), 2261 nucleotides long. NCBI's taxonomy places the organism in Eukaryota, Metazoa, Chordata, Aves, Galliformes, Phasianidae. The record is from Ensembl.